GACGAACGCUGGCGGCGUGCUUAACACAUGCAAGUCGAACGAAAAGAGGGAAAGAGCUUGCUCUUUCCGGAAUUGAGUGGCAAACGGGUGAGUAACACGUAAACAACCUGCCUUCAGGAUGGGGACAACAGACGGAAACGACUGCUAAUACCGAAUAAAUUCCAAGGGCCGCAUGGCCCAUGGAAGAAAAGGUGGCCUCUACCUGUAAGCUAUCGCCUGAAGAGGGGUUUGCGUCUGAUUAGCUGGUUGGAGGGGUAACGGCCCACCAAGGCGACGAUCAGUAUCCGGUCUGAGAGGAUGAACGGCCACACUGGAACUGAGACACGGUCCAGACUCCUACGGGAGGCAGCAGUGGGGAAUCUUCCGCAAUGGGCGAAAGCCUGACGGAGCAACGCCGCGUGAGUGAUGACGGCCUUCGGGUUGUAAAACUCUGUGAUCCGGGACGAAAAGGCAGAGUGCGAAGAACAAACUGCAUGGACGGUACCGGAAAAGCAAGCCACGGCUAACUACGU
RNAcentral lists this ribosomal RNA (512 nucleotides) under uncultured bacterium. Its description in RNAcentral is "partial 16S ribosomal RNA". It matches the Rfam family "Bacterial small subunit ribosomal RNA", at positions 28 to 506 of the family's 1533-position model. The record is from RNAcentral.